UACGAAGGGAGCUAGCGUUGUUCGGAAUUAUUGGGCGUAAAGGGUGCGUAGGCGGUUUGGUAAGUCUUAUGUGAAAUCUACAGGCUCAACUUGUAGUCUGCAUGAGAAACUGCCGGGCUUGAGUAUGGGAGAGGUGAGUGGAAUUCCUGGUGUAGCGGUGAAAUGCGUAGAUAUCAGGAGGAACACCUGUGGCGAAAGCGGCUCACUGGACCAUAACUGACGCUGAUGCACGAAAGCUAGGGGAGCAAACAGG
RNAcentral lists this ribosomal RNA (253 nucleotides) under uncultured bacterium. RNAcentral describes it as "partial 16S ribosomal RNA". It matches the Rfam family "Bacterial small subunit ribosomal RNA", at positions 524 to 776 of the family's 1533-position model. The record is from RNAcentral.